ACGUACAUCCAUCAUGGCCUCAUACAUGAGAGGAAUGGUGACCAAGAAGGGCUCAGAUCGCUUAGGAAUGAAGGUUGGGGUCACACCACCAGGAGGGAGGUGUAGAAAGAGGUACAUGGAGAACAAGUUUGUCAAUCUCUCUGAACUUCAGCUGCCUUACCUGUAAGGCAGCCGUGUCUGUGUUUUUGUCUCGCAGAAUUAGAGCCCAUUGGGAACGAUGCCACCACCGUCAGACAUUGUCAAAGUGGCCAUUGAGUGGCCAGGUGCUAACGCCCAGCUCCUUGAAAUCGACCAGAAACGGCCCCUGGCAUCCAUUAUCAAGGAAGUUUGUGAUGGGUGGUCGUUGCCAAACCCAGAGUAUUAUACCCUCCGUUACGCAGAUGGUCCUCAGCUGUACAUCACCGAACAGACUCGCAGUGACAUUAAGAAUGGGACAAUCUUACAACUGGCUAUCUCCCCGUCCCGGGCUGCACGCCAGCUGAUGGAGAGGACCCAGUCAUCCAACAUGGAGACCCGGCUGGAUGCCAUGAAGGAGCUGGCCAAGCUCUCUGCCGACGUGACUUUCGCUACUGAGUUCAUCAACAUGGAUGGCAUCAUUGUGCUGACAAGGCUCGUGGAAAGUGGAACCAAGCUCUUGUCCCACUACAGUGAGA
This 653-nucleotide small RNA is filed under the name Pongo abelii (Sumatran orangutan). RNAcentral describes it as "processed transcript". Lineage: Eukaryota; Metazoa; Chordata; Mammalia; Primates; Hominidae. The record is from RNAcentral.